RNAcentral lists this ribosomal RNA (450 nucleotides) under uncultured bacterium. RNAcentral describes it as "partial 16S ribosomal RNA". It matches the Rfam family "Bacterial small subunit ribosomal RNA", at positions 354 to 796 of the family's 1533-position model. The record is from RNAcentral.
GUGGGGAAUUUUGGACAAUGGGCGCAAGCCUGAUCCAGCAAUGCCGCGUGCAGGAAGAAGGCCUUCGGGUUGUAAACUGCUUUUGUACGGAACGAAACGGUCCGGGUUAAUACCCUGGGCUAAUGACGGUACCGUAAGAAUAAGCACCGGCUAACUACGUGCCAGCAGCCGCGGUAAUACGUAGGGUGCAAGCGUUAAUCGGAAUUACUGGGCGUAAAGCGUGCGCAGGCGGUUUUGUAAGACAGUGGUGAAAUCCCCGGGCUCAACCUGGGAACUGCCAUUGUGACUGCAAGGCUAGAGUGCGGCAGAGGGGGAUGGAAUUCCGCGUGUAGCAGUGAAAUGCGUAGAUAUGCGGAGGAACACCGAUGGCGAAGGCAAUCCCCUGGGCCUGCACUGACGCUCAUGCACGAAAGCGUGGGGAGCAAACAGGAUUAGAUACCCGAGUAGUCC